GUAAACCUGAGAAACCCAAAAGAUCGAACGGGGAGAUUCAUCGUGAACGAGGCUACUGGUUUCCAUGUGGUAUGCGAUGUUUGACGGGGGCGUCUAUCGCUCUCGUCGCACGCUACCCGUGCGUUAUGUCCGGUAUCGUUGACGUGCACUUCUCCCCUUGUAGGACGUCGCGACCCGUUGGGUGUUGGCCUACGGCACGUACGGUUAGACUUUCGAGUCGCGUUCGCGCGUACCCGAAAGACCAUCGUUGCCCGGUCUGCUGCCCGACGGUAUAAAUCCUCGAAUGCACGGUAUUGGGCCGCAUAAUAAGUGCGUUCCGGCUCGUCGGCAGCCUCGUCUCGCUCGGAUUUACGGAGUUAGAGCCGUUGUCGGGCGCUUGGCGCGGGCGUUAGUCGACGAUGUCCUCGAACAGGCUCUCGAAAGAUAAAAUUUUAAAUACCGGUCGGCGACGCUAUUGCUUUGGGUACUUUCAGGACCCGUCUUGNNNNNNNNNCCAAGGAGUCUAACAUGUGCGCGAGUCAUUGGGACUUUGUGAAGCCUAAAGGCGCAAUGAAAGUGAAGGUCGGCAUUAACGUCGAUCGAGGGAGGAUGGCUUCGCGUUAAGAUGCGAGCUCGCACUCCCGGGGCGUCUUGCGCUCGUUACGAGCGGAGGCGCACCCAGAGCGUACACGUUGGGACCCGAAAGAUGGUGAACUAUGCCUGGUCAGGACGAAGUCAGGGGAAACCCUGAUGGAGGUCCGUAGCGAUUCUGACGUGCAAAUCGAUCGUCGGAACUGGGUAUAGGGGCGAAAGACUAAUCGAACCAUCUAGUAGCUGGUUCCCUCCGAAGUUUCCCUCAGGAUAGCUGGCACUCGCUUGAGCGAGUCUCAUCUGGUAAAGCGAAUGAUUAGAGGCCUUGGGGCCGAAACGACCUCAACCUAUUCUCAAACUUUAAAUGGGUGAGAUCUCUGGCUUGCUUGAACGUUGAAGCCACGAGAUUAUUUACAAUAAUAACGGAUCAGAGUGCCAAGUGGGCCAAUUUUGGUAAGCAGAACUGGCGCUGUGGGA
RNAcentral lists this ribosomal RNA (1047 nucleotides) under Tropimeris sp. GDEL333. RNAcentral describes it as "eukaryotic LSU rRNA". The stretch from base 494 to 1047 matches the Rfam family "Eukaryotic large subunit ribosomal RNA", at positions 666 to 1163 of the family's 3401-position model. The record is from RNAcentral. Lineage: Eukaryota; Metazoa; Arthropoda; Insecta; Hymenoptera; Chalcididae.